UACGGGGGGGGCAAGCGUUGUUCGGAAUUACUGGGCGUAAAGGGCGCGUAGGCGGUGCUCUAAGUCGGAUGUGAAAACUCUGGGCUCAACCCAGAGCCUGCAUCCGAAACUGGAGUGCUAGAGUUCUGGAGGGGGUAGCGGAAUUCCUGGUGUAGCGGUGAAAUGCGUAGAUAUCAGGAGGAACACCGGUGGCGAAAGCGCGAUACUGGGCCAUAACUGACGCUGAGGAACGAAAGCCAGGGGAGCGAAAGGG
Molecule: ribosomal RNA, 253 nt
Filed under: uncultured bacterium
Lineage: Bacteria
Description: partial 16S ribosomal RNA
Rfam family: Bacterial small subunit ribosomal RNA
Source: RNAcentral